This 68-nucleotide transfer RNA is filed under the name Chimaera monstrosa (rabbit fish). RNAcentral's name for it is "tRNA-Tyr". It matches the Rfam family "tRNA". From Rfam's summary of the family: Transfer RNA (tRNA) molecules are approximately 80 nucleotides in length. Their secondary structure includes four short double-helical elements and three loops (D, anti-codon, and T loops). Lineage: Eukaryota; Metazoa; Chordata; Chondrichthyes; Chimaeriformes; Chimaeridae. The record is from RNAcentral.
GGUAAGAUGGCUGAGUUUAGGCGGUGGAUUGUAAAUCCAUAAACAGAGGAUAAAACCUCUUCAUACCA